This 258-nucleotide ribosomal RNA is filed under the name uncultured bacterium. Its description in RNAcentral is "partial 16S ribosomal RNA". It matches the Rfam family "Bacterial small subunit ribosomal RNA", at positions 524 to 777 of the family's 1533-position model. The record is from RNAcentral.
UACGAGUGCCCCAAGCGUUAUCCGGAAUCAUUGGGCGUAAAGGGUGUGUAGGUGGCGUGAUUAGUCUUCUGUUAAACCUUCUGGCUCAACCAGAAACUUGCAGAGGAAACGGUCAUGCUCGAGGGUGCGAGAGGUGAAUGGAACUCAUGGAGUAGGGGUGAAAUCCGUUUGAUAUCAUGGGGAACACCAAAAGCGAAGGCAAUUCACUGGACGCAUUCCUGACACUGAAACACGAAAGGACUGGGUGAGCGAACGGGG